GGGUUGUGAGGUUAAGCGACUAAGCGUACACGGUGGAUGCCCUGGCAGUCAGAGGCGAUGAAGGACGUGCUAAUCUGCGAUAAGCGUCGGUAAGGUGAUAUGAACCGUUAUAACCGGCGAUUUCCGAAUGGGGAAACCCAGUGUGAUUCGUCACACUAUCAUUAACUGAAUCCAUAGGUUAAUGAGGCGAACCGGGGGAACUGAAACAUCUAAGUACCCCGAGGAAAAGAAAUCAACCGAGAUUCCCCCAGUAGCGGCGAGCGAACGGGGAGCAGCCCAGAGCCUGAAUCAGUGUGUGUGUUAGUGGAAGCGUCUGGAAAGGCGCGCGAUACAGGGUGACAGCCCCGUACACAAAAAUGCACAUGCUGUGAGCUCGAUGAGUAGGGCGGGACACGUGGUAUCCUGUCUGAAUAUGGGGGGACCAUCCUCCAAGGCUAAAUACUCCUGACUGACCGAUAGUGAACCAGUACCGUGAGGGAAAGGCGAAAAGAACCCCGGCGAGGGGAGUGAAAAAGAACCUGAAACCGUGUACGUACAAGCAGUGGGAGCACGCUUAGGCGUGUGACUGCGUACCUUUUGUAUAAUGGGUCAGCGACUUAUAUUCUGUAGCAAGGUUAACCGAAUAGGGGAGCCGAAGGGAAACCGAGUCUUAACUGGGCGUUAAGUUGCAGGGUAUAGACCCGAAACCCGGUGAUCUAGCCAUGGGCAGGUUGAAGGUUGGGUAACACUAACUGGAGGACCGAACCGACUAAUGUUGAAAAAUUAGCGGAUGACUUGUGGCUGGGGGUGAAAGGCCAAUCAAACCGGGAGAUAGCUGGUUCUCCCCGAAAGCUAUUUAGGUAGCGCCUCGUGAAUUCAUCUCCGGGGGUAGAGCACUGUUUCGGCAAGGGGGGCAUCCCGACUUACCAACCCGAUGCAAACUGCGAAUACCGGAGAAUGUUAUCACGGGAGACACACAGCGGGUGCUAACGUCCGUCGUGAAGAGGGAAACAACCCAGACCGCCAGCUAAGGUCCCAAAGUCAUGGUUAA
RNAcentral lists this ribosomal RNA (1030 nucleotides) under Escherichia coli. RNAcentral describes it as "partial 23S ribosomal RNA". It matches the Rfam family "Bacterial large subunit ribosomal RNA", at positions 1 to 1062 of the family's 2925-position model. The record is from RNAcentral. Lineage: Bacteria; Pseudomonadati; Pseudomonadota; Gammaproteobacteria; Enterobacterales; Enterobacteriaceae.